CCCUCAUUGCAAGUCUGAGCCUAGUGAGGCCCUAGAGAUCUGGGUAACAGACAGCCUUCCCAAGCCUUCUCUCUCAGCCUGGCCCAACUCUGUAGUAGCAUCAAGCGGGAAUGUGACCCUUCUGUGUCGGGGGCCACCCCGAGGAGUGGGGUUUGUUCUGUACAAGGAGGGAGAGGAGACACCAGUGGCUAUCAGUGAGCCAACUCAAGAUGGAGCUGAAUUCUCUUUGAACCAUGUGAGCCUCAACCAGACUGGAAAGUAUAGAUGCUGCUAUCAUCUUGAGCCAAACCUCCAUGUCCUGGCCCUGCCCAGUGACCCCCUGGAACUUCUAAUCCAAGGGCAGCAGCAUGAAAGCAGCAGAAAAGGUACAGCUCCCUGGGGUGGAGGUAGGGGGCAAUGCCUUCACUGGGUGCUCGAGGUCAGCACUUAUGUUGGAGUAUGGUGGCACUGGGUGGCAGGGUGAGUGGGAGCAUGAGGGAAGGUUUGUCAGAGGCCAGUGGCACCUGAUAACUGUAGGAAGGAGAGUUAAUUCAGCAGCCCUUCAUUUGUAUUAGUUGAAGGAUCACUGGUUCGAUGACUGUGUGGGAAAGCAGGUGAAGUGCAGUCUCAGGAUAUUUCCUGAGUUCUCAUCUUAAGUGUGUGUUAUCACAUUAAUCAU
This is a non-coding RNA of Monodelphis domestica (gray short-tailed opossum), 658 nucleotides long. The record is from RefSeq and is a predicted model, not a curated record. NCBI's taxonomy places the organism in Eukaryota, Metazoa, Chordata, Mammalia, Didelphimorphia, Didelphidae.